AUUGAACGCUGGCGGAAUGCUUUACACAUGCAAGUCGAACGGUAGAGGGGGCAACCCCCUUGAGAGUGGCGAACGGGUGAGUAAUAUAUCGGAACGUGCCCAGUCGUGGGGAUAACGUAGCGAAAGUUACGCUAAUACCGCAUACGAUCUACGGAUGAAAGCGGGGGACUCGCAAGAGCCUCGCGCGAUUGGAGCGGCCGAUAUCAGAUUAGGUAGUUGGUGGGGUAAAGGCUCACCAAGCCAACGAUCUGUAGCUGGUCUGAGAGGACGACCAGCCACACUGGAACUGAGACACGGUCCAGACUCCUACGGGAGGCAGCAGUGGGGAAUUUUGGACAAUGGGCGCAAGCCUGAUCCAGCAAUGCCGCGUGCAGGAUGAAGGCCUUCGGUUGG
RNAcentral lists this ribosomal RNA (393 nucleotides) under uncultured bacterium. RNAcentral describes it as "bacterial SSU rRNA". It matches the Rfam family "Bacterial small subunit ribosomal RNA", at positions 30 to 426 of the family's 1533-position model. The record is from RNAcentral.